Molecule: ribosomal RNA, 460 nt
Filed under: uncultured bacterium
Lineage: Bacteria
Description: partial 16S ribosomal RNA
Rfam family: Bacterial small subunit ribosomal RNA
Source: RNAcentral
CCUACGGGGGUCAGCAGUGAGGAAUAUUGGUCAAUGGACGAGAGUCUGAACCAGCCAAGUAGCGUGAAGGAUGACUGCCCUAUGGGUUGUAAACUUCUUUUAUAUGGGAAUCAACUGUUCCACGUGUGGGUUUUUGUAUGUACCAUAUGACUAAGGAUCGGCUAACUCCGUGCCAGCAGCCGCGGUAAUACGGAGGAUCCGAGCGUUAUCCGGAUUUAUUGGGUUUAAAGGGAGCGUAGGUGGAUUGUUAAGUCAGUUGUGAAAGUUUGCGGCUCAACCGUAAAAUUGCAGUUGAAACUGGCAGUCUUGAGUACAGUAGAGGUGGGCGGAAUUCGUGGUGUAGCGGUGAAAUGCUUAGAUAUCACGAAGAACUCCGAUUGCGAAGGCAGCUCACUGGACUGCAACUGACACUGAGGCUCGAAAGUGUGGGUAUCAAACAGGAUUAGAUACCCUGGUAGUC